GUUCAUUUGAGGGGGAGCUUACGUGGUUGUACUCUUUUUACCUUACUAUGGUUUUUCCCAUUGGGUUUUCCUGGAAAGGUUUUUAACGAGGCAACAAAGACGUUAAGCGAGAGCGGAUAGUGACACCGGCCCCCAAGGGGGAGUGUUACGAAAGUCAAAAAUAAGGUGCAGUCGUGUUUCGUUGAAAAUAUAAAAAGAUGUGGGGCCCACUGCACUAUUUGCACAGUAAAUUUCUUUCUAUAUAUACAAACGUUUUCGUUCAUUGUAAAACACGCCUCAAUCUCUUCUCUCUCUAUAAUAAGAAACUCUCUCUUCCUAUAUCAGUGUUAAAAUUUCUAUGGGUAUAAAAUUUUGCCCUUAUCUAAAUUUCUGCGAUACAAUAAAAUACAAGUUCUUUUUAUAACAAUUAUAUCUUAUUUGCAUUAUCAUACAAGACUUUUUAGAAAAAGUAAAAUAACAUUGAAGUCAAUUAUUUGGACGUCACUUUUGAACAUGUGACAUAUAGCUUUAUGUUUCGUAGCGUGUACCAGUAGACAGUAGUUAAAAAAUAUUCUGAACUCUAGUUUCCUUUUUAAUAUUCUCAUCAAUACUUUACUACUCCCUGGUUUUUUAUAUUUGAUGCUUUAAGAUUGUGCACAUAGAUUAAAAACAUUUAAAUUUCUAAACAAAAACAUCAUUAAUUGUUUACUUAACUACAAUUUAACCAAUAAUAAAAUAGAAAUUAUAAUACCAUUGUUCAUCUAGCAUUAAUUAGUAAUAAAAUUUACAUAGAAAAUUGAAAACGUCAAAUAAUUUGGUAUAAAAAAUUCCUCUAAAACGUUAAAUAUAAAAAAACGGAAGGAGUAUUUUAUUAAUUCAGUGAUAAGGAUUGAUAAUCUGAGAGACGUGUAUCUUUAGUUCUUUACAUGUUCUUCUCUUCAUUCGAGAAAGAAGUUCGCCUACGAAAAGAGCUGGAUCUUCUAAUAAGUUUGACGGAUGAACUAUUUUAUGAUUAAAUUAACUGUGUUUUAAAAAGAAAAUUAUAUUUUUGGCCAGUGAGAUAUUUAAAAACCGGUUCUUAAUUUUUUUAGUUAAAAAUUAAGAGACAGUUUUUUAUAUUCUGCUAAGAGUUUCAUUCUAAGAAUCUUCCAUUAAUCAUGCUAUUAUAUUUUUUUUAGUUGCUUCUGUCUUUUUCCUUCCACCUCAGAUUCAAAUAAAUUAUUAUCAAACGAAAUUCUACACCACUCUCACAAGCCUAACGUCCUUGUUCUUGAUAAAGCCUAUCACCCUCUGUUGACACCAGACUCCAGUUAAAGUGCUCAAGAGAAACCCAAAAAGAUGUAUUCAACGCACCAGAGAAAUCGUUGUUGAGAGAAAUUUCCGUAAGAUAUCUCCAGUGAGGAAUCAGGUCCACUACAUGUGAAAUAACUGAAGAUAUCUUGGAGAAUUUUUCUCAACAACAGUGGCUCUAUGUGUGAGUUCAUUGAAGCGGAAUGCGUCAGAUGUUGAAACCUGAAGCUCACCGGAGCUGACCCCCCCCCCCCGGACACAAGGAGGACGGUCGGCGAGAGGAGAGAUUGGAGUGGAAUUCGAUCGGCCUUAGAGAACAGUGAGUUCCCAGAUCUGACCGGUUAGGAAAGGGAGCCAUCAGUUAAAGGGUUUUGUAUCUUGAUAUGGAAUUGUGAAAAGAAUAAACCCAAGAAGAAACGAUUAUCCCUCCCAAGAACAGGGGGCGCCGUCGUCGACUUCUCGUUACUGCUCCGGCGGUGGGGUCUCUCGACGCCGUCGGGAGCGGUUCAUCUUCGGAUUCUCUUGUCUUCCUCGUCGUUUCUGUAGUUUUCGCUCAGAUCUGCGGAGCCUCCUCUCUCGCUUGUGUUGAGAUGGAGAUCCGGUCGGUUCAGGUUCUGUCGACAUCUUCUUAGUCAAGGUUCGUGGUCAUGAGCUAAACCCGUCCGAUUCAUUUUGGGCGGGCUACGGACGUGCCCAAUUAAUAAAUGGUCCAACUGGACAAAAGACCAAUUAGUACAUAGUCCAAUUGAGCAAAGACCAAAUAGACAAUGGGUGUCUAUGAGCUUCAUAAAACAUAAUUUCAUGAGUUUAACAAAAGAAAACAUAGCUGUACAAUUUAACCCAAAAAAACAGUUUUAUCGUUAAAAUAAAAAAUUAACUAUUUUGAUGUAAAAUGUAGUUUUACUAUUUUGACGGAAAACCUAAUUUCUUAGGUUAUAACACAUUAUAUAUUACUUAGGUCUCUUUGAAUUCUGGAUGUGCAAUAGUUAUCCCUAAUAAGAAAAAAAUUCAUAUGUUGAAUUGAUUGCUAAGUUGUAACGCUCUCCGGCCUAAGUAAUAUAUAUGUUGAAAAAACUUCAUAUGUUGAAUUGAUUGCUUAGUUGAAUUCUGGAUGUGUGAAACAAAGCGUUUACAAAGAGAAAAAGAGUGUUACAGUUGUCGACGUUUCUCGAACUGAGACUCAUGGCUAUGUGGGUCAAGCCAGUCUCUUGAAACGCCUUUUGACACAUUAGUUCCGUUCUCAACCCCGCCUACAAGAUCUUUUCCUUGAGCUUCUACUUAAACCUCUGCUUCCUGCUCGAUGCGUUACCGUCUUGUAGUUGCGAAGGAGGAGCUCCUCCGUGUGGUCCUAGGUGGAUGUUAUCUUCAGCUUUAAUCUACAAAAAACAUUGAAAGAGAGGUAGCUUCUUAAAUACCUUUGACACUCCUCCUCUAUGGAUCUUUUUAUUUACAGAACAAACCAAUCAACCACUGACUUUAGGAGAAGAUGUAUCAGCUUGUGAAUCAUCAUUAGCAUUCUCUUGUUCAAUCUCCAAGCUUGGAAUCACAAACCCAUCAGUGUCUGUACCCAAAUCAAAUGAUCGAUUCAACGUUUUGGAAUUGAACAAGCUGAUGCAGAGAUUGGAACAAUGCUCUGAGAGUCACAAAGCAUAGAUUUUUAACUUGUGCGUCAACAAAAGCAUACAAGUUUGAAGAUUCGAGAAGACUCUUAUAAAAUGGAAUUUAGGGUUUCAAAGCUUGGAGAAUGAAUCAAGAACAUGUUGGAGAGUAUACGGUCACAUGAGUAGACUUUGAGAUAAACAAAUGUAAUCGAACGAUUUUUAAAGAAACCUAAUUAACUUAAUACAUGUAAUGUGUUGAAGACCGGUCGGAUCCGGAUUCGGUUAUUGCAAUGGGCAAGGUGGAAACUAAAGUAUACUCGAAUGCUAUUUUUUUAUUUUACCAAAACAAAAAAAAAACCUAUUGGAUGUUCAAAAAAAAAACUAAGAAUGUUAUUUUGUAGAAUACAUCAUUUCACAAAGUUAAAUAAUAAUUAUUUAUUCUAUUAAAAACAUACAAUCAAGUGAAAUUAAAAUUAAACAAGAGAUGUUAUUACAUGUAUUUUAAUCAUUUUUAUAUUUAUUAUAUCAAAUUAAUAAACUACAAUAUCUAAAUUUAAAAUAUUUUAUUUCCUAUUUCAUUACAAAAAAUUAAAUUUUUUUAUUUUAUUUAAAAUAAUAAAUUAAAUAUAUUAAAAAUAUUAGGAUAUAUAUUAUUUCAGUUUUAAUUUCGAAAACAAAAGAAAAACAAUUAUUUAUAUAUACAUAUAUAUUCAAUAAAUAAUAAAUUAAUAAACCGGAUAUUAUGGGUAUAAGGUAAUUCAGUCCAACUCAAUUUUGAAAUAACCGAAUUGAACCAGACUGGAAAAUGAAAGAUAUUUGAAUAGAAAACUUAGAGCAUUAUUAACCUCGGUUUCUUAGCCGAUAUUCUUGACUCAUGAUUUGAUUUUUUUUUUCCGUUUCAGCUAAGAGACGGUUCUUAUAUCUCUUAUUUAAGAGACAGUUUUUAACUUUUCUUAGUUAAAAUCUAAGAAAAAAGUAAGAAUCGUCUUUUAUCCGAAGCUAAAAACCCAGUUAAGAGACCAGAGUUAAUGAUGAUCUUAGACAUCUCCAUCUGGAGGUUUAGGGAGAGAUUCUUAAG
Long non-coding RNA from Brassica napus (rape), 3948 nucleotides. RefSeq lists it as uncharacterized. The transcript is spliced from 2 exons. The record is from RefSeq and is a predicted model, not a curated record. NCBI's taxonomy places the organism in Eukaryota, Viridiplantae, Streptophyta, Magnoliopsida, Brassicales, Brassicaceae.